CGCCCAGGCUCCUCCUCCCCCUCCUCCAGCGCUUCCCGCCGCGCGGGUAGCGGCCGCGGGAGUCCAAUUGUGGCCGCCCGAGCUAUGAGAGCCGCCGGCCCGAGCGCGCGCCCCGCGCUGGCGCUGCUGCUGCUGGCCGGGGCCGGGGUGUCGGCCGCCGCCUCGCCCCCAGCCCCGCCGGUCUUCAACGUGAGCCUGGACUUGGCCCCCGAGCUGCGCUGGCUGCCGGUGCUGCAGCACUUCGACCGGGACUUCUUGCGCACCGCUAUGGCCCACAUCAUCGGGGAUAAUGUCCCCAAGUGGGUCCUCUCAUUGAUCCGAAAUGCUGUCUGGGAGCUAGAGCUCUUCUUGCCCCAGCCCUUCACCGACGAGAUCCGAGGCAUGUGCGACGCCCUGAACUUCAACUUGGCCGACUGCAUCCUGCUCAAUCUGGCCUACGAGUCCACCGCAUUCUGCACCAGUAUUGUGGCUCAGGACUCCAAAGGCAACAUUUACCAUGGGCGGAAUCUGGAUUAUGCUUUUGGAAAUUUCUUACGCAAGUUGACUGUGGAUGUGCAGUUCAUAAAGAAUGGGAAGAUUGCCUUCACAGGAACCACAUUUAUUGGCUACGUAGGAUUAUGGACUGGUCAGAGUCCACACAAGUUUACGGUUUCUGGCGAUGAACGAGAUCAAGGCUGGUGGUGGGAGAAUAUGGUCGCUGCCCUUUUUCAGAGACACUCACCCGUCAGCUGGCUUAUCCGCACUACCCUGAGUGAGUCGGAAAACUUUGAAGCAGCUGUUUACAAAUUGGCCAAGACCCCCCUCAUUGCUGAUGUUUAUUACAUUGUUGGUGGCACAUCUCCCCGGGAGGGAAUUGUCAUCACGAGGAACAGAGAUGGCCCGGCAGACAUGUGGCCUCUAGAUCCUUUAAAUGGAGCGUGGUUCCGAGUUGAGACAAAUUACGACCACUGGAAGCCAGUGCCUACGAGAGAUGACCGAAGAACACCUGCCAUCAAAGCUCUUAAUGCCACAGGCCAGGCAAACCUCAACCUGGAGACGCUCUUCCAGGUUUUGUCAGUGUUUCCGGUUUAUAACAACUACACAAUUUAUACUACGGUCAUGAGCGCUGCCAGCCCAGACAAGUACAUGACUAGGAUCAGAACCUGAGUUAAAAGCGGAAGAGUGAAUUCCCCUGUGCUAUGAAGCUUAUAAAGAAAAGAGUGGGGAAGACCCCUUUGUUCAUCAUGAAGUGCUUCUGGAAGAGUCUGCCAAUCAAAUAAAAUUAACAACGAUUAUUAUUAUGGAGCAAAGAUGAGUUUAUUCGGGAAUAGCAGAGGAAUUGCAAUUUGGGACAAGCGAACUGUGGUGAACCAUGGCAGGAAGAAGAAAACUCUGCAUCUGAUGACAGCCCAACCAAUCAGACUGUAGCUGCCCGACCAAUGAGAAGUCUUCAUACUUUGGACUCCUAGCUUCCUCCAGUGAACUCUUUCAUUAUUAAAACCCCUCCCAACUCCCUUCUUUUUCCUAUGAAAGCAAACUCCUCUUUCUUGUUCUCUGGAUUUGCCUAUGGUCUACCAUAGUUUGCACAUCCCGAAUUGUAAUUCCUGUGGUUAUUCCCAAAUAAACUUGAUUUG
Hippopotamus amphibius kiboko is the source of this 1613-nucleotide RNA transcript. It is a transcript of the gene named N-acylethanolamine acid amidase, with no coding region annotated. Lineage: Eukaryota; Metazoa; Chordata; Mammalia; Artiodactyla; Hippopotamidae. The record is from RefSeq and is a predicted model, not a curated record. The transcript is spliced from 12 exons.